AGAGUUUGAUCCUGGCUCAGAAUCAACGCUGGCGGCGCGCCUAACACAUGCAAGUCGAACGGGAAAGUGGGCAACCAUGAGUACAGUGGCGUACGGGUGAGUAACACGUGGGUGAUCUACCUCUUAGUGGGGAAUAACCCUGGGAAACCGGGGCUAAUACCGCAUAAGCUCGAGAGAGGAAAGCAGCAAUGCGCUGAGAGAGGAGCCCGCGGCCGAUUAGCUAGUUGGUAGGGUAAAAGCCUACCAAGGCAAAGAUCGGUAGCCGGCCUGAGAGGGCACACGGCCACACUGGCACUGAAACACGGGCCAGACUCCUACGGGAGGCAGCAGUGGGGAAUCUUGCACAAUGGGGGAAACCCUGAUGCAGCGACGCCGCGUGAGCGAUGAAGCCCUUCGGGGUGUAAAGCUCUUUCGGCAGGGAAGAUGAUGACGGUACCUGCAGAAGCAGCUGCGGCUAACUACGUGCCAGCAGCCGCGGUAAUACGUAGGCAGCAAGCGUUGUUCGGAGUUACUGGGCGUAAAGGGUGUGUAGGCGGUCUUUUAAGUUUGGUGUGAAAUCUCCCGGCUCAACCGGGAGGGUGCGCCGAAUACUGAGAGACUCGAGUGCGGGAGAGGAAAGUGGAAUUCCUGGUGUAGCGGUGAAAUGCGUAGAUAUCAGGAGGAACACCGGUGGUGUAGACGGCUUUCUGGACCGUAACUGACGCUGAGACACGAAAGCGUGGGUAGCAAACAGGAUUAGAUACCCUGGUAGUCCACGCCCUAAACGAUGCAUAUUUGGUGUGGGCAGUUCAUUCUGUCCGUGCCGGAGCUAACGCGUUAAAUAUGCCGCCUGGGGAGUACAGUCGCAAGGCUGAAACUCAAAGGAAUUGACGGGGGCCCGCACAAGCGGUGGAGCAUGUGGUUCAAUUCGACGCAACGCGAAGAACCUUACCUGGGCUCGAACGGGUAGUCAACGGCGGUGGAAACAUCGCUACCCCGCAAGGGGGUC
RNAcentral lists this ribosomal RNA (988 nucleotides) under uncultured bacterium. Its description in RNAcentral is "bacterial SSU rRNA". It matches the Rfam family "Bacterial small subunit ribosomal RNA", at positions 8 to 1029 of the family's 1533-position model. The record is from RNAcentral.